GUUGCUAUAAUUUAAAAAAAAUACAGGUUUGUGGCACCUGAAAUGUAAAUUUUACUAGCAACC
This 63-nucleotide transfer RNA is filed under the name Daphnia sp. Its description in RNAcentral is "tRNA-His". Lineage: Eukaryota; Metazoa; Arthropoda; Branchiopoda; Diplostraca; Daphniidae. The record is from RNAcentral.